Alligator sinensis (Chinese alligator) is the source of this 153-nucleotide non-coding RNA. NCBI's taxonomy places the organism in Eukaryota, Metazoa, Chordata, Crocodylia, Alligatoridae. The record is from Rfam.
AACUCUUACCAGUGGAUCACUUGGCUCAUGCGUCAAUGAAGAAUGAAGCUACCUGCGAGAAUUAAUGUGAAUUGCAGGACACAUUGAUGAUUGACACUCCAAAUGCACUUGUGGCCUUAGGUUCCUACCAGGGCUUCACUUGUCUGAGCAUCA